AGAAGGAAUUCAUCUAUACAAUACCAGGAGUUUGGGUUUUAUUGUUAGAACUUUAUAUAACUAUGAUUCUUAUGAUCAACAAUCUAGAUUUGAUACUUCGGUUAGGUUGUAAUCACAUUAGCUAAACAUGUUUAGUAAUUGGGGCGCCACAAGUUUGUAUCAGAGCUCAUUACUAGAUCUUACAUGGGCGACAAUAGGAUUAGCCAGUGACAGAUAGAUUAUUAAAUUAGUUUAGAACUGGGUUGGGUUUGUUAGAUAAAUCUUAAUCACUAAAAAAAACAAUCAAGAAUUAAAAUAUUUUUUAAUUGAUUGAUUGUUCAGCAUGAUGAUUGCUUGUUUCUUGUUUUGUGUGUAUAUAUUUAUGAAGUAAAAAUUGUAGGCUGAAACCAAUUGUGGUAUAAGUUAGAAAUUUCAACAGAUAACUAGAAAUUAGUUAGUCUCAAUUAAAUGAUACUUAGAUAAUCUAGCACUGGAGAAUAGUGAGGUUGGCAACUACAUGCAUGGAUUACCAUUCGUAAAAGGAGAACUUGCUUCUAUUAGUGAACUAUUAGAUCCUAAAUUUUACUUAGAAACUACUAGAGUACCUUUUCUCGUAGUUAGAACCAUUAACCUAUUAAAGUAGAAGGUUAGUGUGAAUAAAUGUAGACCUAGUUAUUUGUUAGAAUUUAAUUCAACAUAGUGAGCUUAGAGUUAAUCAACUUAUGAAAUAGAAAUUAGUAUAAAGAGCUUAGAGACUAAAAUUUAUAGUUUUCUAGUUGUAGAAAACCAUAUGGGUUUGUAUUUCAUUUCUUGUUGUUUCGGACUCAUUUGAAAUGAGUUAAUCUUCGUGCGUUUGUAAGUAUGAGCAGUACUUGCAUUUAGUCGAGAGAUAGUAAUUCUCCAUAAGGUGGGGAGUUUUUGAAGACUAUAUGGUGGAUCGAUUUUCGAGGACGAAAAUGAUAUAAGGUGGGGAGAAUGUAACGAGCCUCAAGCUCGUCAACGCUAUUAGACCAGUCAAGAGACGACUAAGCCGUUACCGACCCGAUUAAUUAGAGACGAACGUAAUUAAUAUAGAAUUUAAAUUAACAACAAUCUAGAUACGAAACUAGUAUCACUGUAUAGGUCUCAAAAAGUUACGCGCAUUGGACUACUCAAACGUGUCCUUCAGACACCGGACGAAGAAGAUAACAUCAGAGUCGUACGAGGGGGAAAAUAAUCAUUUUACAUCUAGACCGCCUGGCUGCCCAUAUCAAUUCAACGGGUGCCUUUAUAAUUUCAGUUGCCUUAUCAUCACCAAACGUGUCGAGAGAAAAUCAUUUCUCUUUUCUUAUUCCCUUUCUUUCUUCUUUCAUCUUCUUCUCUGUUUCUCUUCUCCUCCUCUCUGUCGAUUUUUUUUCAGUGGUUUGAGAUUGAGUUGCUCGAAAUUAGUUCAUAGAAAGCUUGUAGUUGUUGAGUUGAGGGAGAAGGUGAUGUUGUUGUUGUCGAUUGGGUUUUUGGAAGAAGCAGGAAGUUAGAAUUUUGGAAAUAAUUGAGUUAGGUUUUCAAUUGAGGUUCAAAGAAGGAUUGGAGGAUGAAGAUGAUGGUUUACGAGGUUGAAUUAAGUUGGGUUUAUCACGAAUUAGAAUCUAAAGUUAAAGAGUGGUCUGAAUUUGAUAUUAGGGUUUUCUGAGUUGGAUUAGAAUUCAAAUUAGGUGAUGAUUAAGAAGAAAUUGACGACUGGGUUUUGUUGAUUGAGGUGCGGGAUGAAGUUAAUUGGAUGGCAUGGAGUUGUUCAUGAAGAAUUUAGGAGUUAGGGUUUUUGUUCUUCCCCAAAAUGGAAUUAGUAUUUCAGAAUAAUUGAAAUGGGAUUUAGCUAUUCAGAGGAUGUCGAUUCUUGGUUAUUCCUUAUAAACAACGAUCGAUUUAAAAACUGAGCCAAUGGAUUAUGGAUCUCAAGGUAGGCGAGGCUUGUCAUCAAAUAAGGUGGGAACUCUAUAACCUUCUUGUAAUCAUUAAGUUCCUUUUCAUAUGCGAGCAUGAUGAGUCAUUAUUUCUUAUGAGCAUAUUUGUGUGUAAAUGAUUGGGUAUGUUGUGUAAUAUUCGUUGUGUGGAUUCUCCAAAUGUUAUAUCUAUUUUUAUGUUUAUUGUAGCCCUGAUGAGGCAAUAUCGUUAUAUAGAGGAAUAUUACCUUUUACAAUUUCUUGUGAGAAUCCAUUCGUUUGCAUAUUAUGCUUGAUUGCAAAACCUUCGGGACUUAUGAUGGUAGAUUCUUGAAUCAUGGUGUGGAUGGGCACAUCGUGUGGAUGGGCUAUUAUUGGAGUCUGGAGUUAUUCUGUUUUCGCUUUCUCCAAUGAGUUUGGCGAGGUCUGAGUGACAUAGUUUAGUUGUUCUUGCUUCACUUUUGUGGAUUCAUCCGGUGGUGGUCUUUCACGGAUAUUGCCACUAUGGACGCAAUAUCUAAGGAAGUGGAACUAGAAUAACAUUGUUUCAUGAAUGAUAUAUAAUACAAUGCUUGUUGUUUGUUGUGUGAAUAAUUUGAUGUGUGUUUGAGUGAAAUCCCCGCGAGGAGUGACUGUGGUCUCCCCACAGCUCCUUUCUAAGUCUUAUAGCCCAGAUGAGGCAAUAUAUAACAUGAGAAGUGCAUAUAAUAGCUAUCUAGCGCGUAAAGCGAAAUAGUAUUAUUUUUUAUUUUAUAACCUAAUUUAUGUCGUUAAUGGCCCAGAUGAGGAAAUAGUAUAUCGAGGUAUUUGGGGAAAUUACUCUUACACAUGUUAUGCACGAUGACAUGUUUAAAUUACUUCUUCUUUAUAACUGUGUAGUAUGUUAGUGAUUACUUGAGAGUUACAUGUCUUCAUUGAGCACCCUUUGGGGUGAUGUACUCACUCGUUCCCACUUCAGUUUCAGUUUCCAAAUAAGACGAUGUACGUGAAGACUUCUGUUUCCGUAUCUUAGAGCCUUACCGAUAUAGAGAUGCUGUGUAUAUUUUAUUAUAUGUAUCUUUAUUCUGAAAAACAACACAUUAUUGUAUUCAUAUCUAUCAGAAGGAAUUCAUCUAUACAAUACCAGUAGUUUGGGUUUUAUUGUUAGAACUUUAUAUAAUUAUGAUUCUUAUGAUCAACAAUCUAGAUUUGAUACUUCAGUUAGGUUGUAAUCCCAUUAGCUAAGCAGGUUUAGUAAUUGGGGCGCCACACCCUGCUUAGCACGUAACAGUGAUAUUGUUGCGGGGUAAGCAAUAGAUGGUGACAGGCGAGAACAAAUUGAAAAGGCAAGGCAUGGAUGGAUUACCAGGAAACAUUUGAUCGACUCUUGGCAAUAGGUAUGAGCGGCACUGGUGCACUGUUAGUCCGUACAUGGAGCGUUGGCGCUCGCGGGCUCGGCUGCCUUCUUCCGUGCAUGCUGGUGCUCCUUGUUGUGUUGAUCUCCCUUCAUUGCUGUAGCAGGGAAGUGGCUGCUGUUUUGAAUUUGGGACAUCGACUGCCUUGCAUCCUCCAGAUAUACUGACUAGGACCCGUAUUUGGGAUGGACGCGUUCUUCCGUUGACCAUCCAACGGUCCUUUCCCGGUUCUUAAUUAGGGUUUCAACAAGAAGCAUGACUUGGUUGGUGUUGAACCCUCGUUUAUCGGAUGAAUCUUGUUACAACCAUUCAGUCUCAUUUUAGGGUUUCUGCCGCGUGUAUAAAUAUACAGGGAAGUUAAAAACACCCUUAUCGUGCUGAGAUAAAGAUUCUCUUGCUGAAACUCCAGCCUUUCAUCAUGUCAGACAGAAGUGGAUCAUCUUCUUCGACUCAGCCAGAUUCUUCUACCAAACGCAAGCGGCUUGUAUCCAGAAGCGGUCGAAUCCCUGAGCCUCGUGACGGUUCUCCUGUCUGAAUCAUUCGAGUCAAGAAGAUCAUACCGAUCUUUUUUUUUACUGGUGAAUAUGCAUUUGUUAGCCACGACCGGUAGGUAAAAAAAUCUUUUCUCCUUCCUUUUGUAGAGGUAUCCUUCUGGGACAUGUGUAACAGUGGUUGAAGACGAUGAUUUAACCACUCCUCUCCCUUCAAGCUCAAACUCGCCUGAUGCUGACCUGAAAGACGCUGAUUUGGGUAUCUCCUCCUACGAGUACCCCAAUGCAGGCUUGCAUUUCGACAUUCACAUGAGAUGCUUGUCUUUUAGUUACCGGGUUGUUGGCGGUUUUCUAUGAGGAAGGAGUUCAUACCCUUGUAUACAAAAAUAUGGAGAAGGUACGGCCAUAUUGCAACUAGGAACGUGGUGCGGCACUGCUCGUCUGCUUUAGUUACCACGGUGAACUGUCUCCUUCCCAUGAUUGCCAAGAUGGAAGGUACAUCCAUACGUGAUGUUGCUGAAUCAGCUAUUUAAAAGUGGGAAGACAUGAUAUCCACCUGUGAAUCCAUGAAGUUCAACGUGGGAUGGUUGCGGCAACGCCUUUAUAUUAUCAAAGUUGAUCGAGCCGGUAUCAUCGCCAAUGUCGUUCCUGCUGCGAAAGCUAUCUUGGAAGAGGAGAAGGCCCUGGCUGCGGAAUCUAAGAAGGUGGAACAUGCGAUCCAAAAUUUGAACAGUAAGACUGAAAGGUAUCAGGAGAGACUGAAAAUGAUGCUUUCAAGGAACUAUAACUUGUUGGAUGGCCUUUUCUGAGUCAUACUUAUAUUUAUUGUUUUAAAUAAGUAGGUACAAUGACGUUUUCAUCGUCCCUUUUUUUUGUUGUUGGGGUUUUGAGCCUUGCUUUGGAAAAUGAAUUGCAUUGGGUUUUGUUAA
Molecule: long non-coding RNA, 4712 nt
Organism: Papaver somniferum (opium poppy)
Lineage: Eukaryota; Viridiplantae; Streptophyta; Magnoliopsida; Ranunculales; Papaveraceae
Exons: 4
Source: RefSeq, a predicted model, not a curated record